GAGAGAGCACAGCAGCUGCAUGCCUGGUUGCUUCACUCCAGAGGUCCUCUCCCGCAGCUGGUCUCGCUGUGGGUACGCGGGAAGGGCCAGGCCCUGCCCCCACUCCCGCCCCCAGCGCGCCCCAGAGCCGGGUGGGGCGCACGCGCAAACAGCUCCCCGGGGACGGUUCCGGGGACCCAGUCUUCCGCCCCGGCGCCGAGAGGGGCGCGUUCUCUCCGCAGCUAGGACGCAUCCGCCUGGGCAUUGCCCUCUCCCCGCCCACCUUGUUCGGUUUGGUUCGGUUCUGCAGGAAGGGGCCGCGUGACUUUCGGCCACUCUGACUCCGUGGCCAGCAGGGGGCGCUGCGCUGCAGCGAGCCCGCCGGUCCCGGUCCUUUCCUGCCGCUCAAGGCGCUGCAGAGCCGGGUCGCGGGCGCCCCCUCAUGGGGAGGCUCAGAGGGUCCGGGUUCCCCCUGGGGCUUUUCCAUCGCUGUGUAAGACGCGCACCCGGCACCGUCCUGCUCGCUCUUUUACUCGCCCCGAAUCCUGCCUGUGCCUCCCCGCGUCUGUCUGAGCCGGCGUCAGCCCGCCCACAGACUCCGGGAGCCCCUACGGGGCCCGCCGUGCGGUGACAAAGGGCUGAGGGAACCCUUGGGCCCCGCCCUCCUCUCUGGGGAGUGAGAGCCCUAUGGGAUAGACAGCACCAAGGCAGAGAGGACUGUGGUGAGCUCUGCUUGGCAAGGACUUCAGCUCUGCUUGGUAAGCGCUUGGGGUAUCACCAGGGACACCCUGCGCACUUACAGGUUCUCCUCCUCCAGCAGGGGACACUCUUUAAAAACUCAGACCUAGUGCCACAACCCGUGCAGCUCUUGAGGCUCCUGGGGUGAAGAACCGUGAGAGGAUGAGAAGCAGGGUGUAAGAAGCAGGCUAGUUCAGCACAGGGCCGUAAUAAAUAGUCCACUGGGAACGUAGAGCUCUCAUGGACACCCACAAGCCAGGUGCUUGUCUCUAUGUCUGUCCAAUCUGUAUAGAUCAUCUUUCAUCUGUCCGUAUUUGUCCACUUGGCCCUUCUGUAAGUGAGGGGCCACCAGUUAACCCAAACAGGGUCAUCAGACAUCUAAGAUACCGUGGACACCGUCCAUGAGGUUGGAGAAGAGAUCAAGGCCCCUCCUAAAAAUGUGAAGGUAUCUACCUGCUCAGAAAGCAUGAAAAUGGACCUGCUGACUUACUGGGAAAGUCUCAGAGCUUGAUUUCCUUCCAGCCAGUUCUUAAGAAUGGAAUGGGAGCCAGGCAAGGUGGCACACACCUGUGAACCCAGCACUCAGGAGGCUGAAGCAGGAGGAUUGCUGUAACUUCGAGAUCAGCCUGAGCUACGAAAUGACUUUAAGACCAGAGCGAACUACACAGCAAGACCCUGUCUCAAAAAGACAAAAAAAAAGGAAAAUGAGGAAAAAAGCAAGAUCUAUCUUGUACAGGUACAAACUUCCCAUGAUGACUGUGAUCAUUAUCUAAAAUAUCUAAAUAGUAUCUAAAAAAAUCUAAAAUCAGCUUAAAAAGUAAGAAAAAUUAAAAACUCAAAAUUAGAAAGAAAAACGCCACACAGCUCAUUUCUAAUUGAAAUUCCCCACCUGAAGUGAGGCAUUUCUUCAGUGCCUUUGGAAUUUGGGUUCCAGGGUCAGCUGUAGCCUCUGAGUCAACUCGAUGUCACCUCAUCCAUGGUGACAGACCUCUGUAUGCCGGCCAGAAGUUCAACUUGUACUAACUAAGGAGGGAAAUUGUACAGCGUUUACAAGGGAUGAUGCUUACAGCACUUUAACCCGUGGUUCUUUUCAGCGCCUGGAACCAAACCUGGAGGGUGCUGCCCGCAUCCUGUGUUCUUUUUAUUUUGAGAUGGGUUUUGCUGAAUUGCCCAGGUCGACCUCCAAGUUGGAACCCUACCGCCUCAGCCUCCUGGUAAUUGGGAGACAAGCAUGCAUUCGUGUCCUGAUCCAGUGUGGUGUGGCGAGUGGGCCCCAGGAGGACCAGCCAACUCCUUAGGAGACAGGCACGGUGGUUCGGGCGGAACACAGUGGGGCGGAACUGAGUCGUGAGGCUUUGGGAACAGUGAGAAGAGAGAGGAACCACAGCUGCGCACCCGCAUCCAAGGAGCAAGCGGAGCCCACGAGUGAGCUCUAAUUCGCUGCCUGCUCACUGAAUGGGGGCGGGGGGGGGGGGACACAUAGAUUUCCUCUUAAAGCUUUCAGCCCACCCACAGAGACACCCUUUGUUUGUACCGGGAUUGAACUCAGGACCUUGCACUUGCCAGGCAGGUGCUUAGGCCCCUGAGCUAUGUCCCAGCCACAAAAACAUUUUAAAAAUCAUAAAAAUUUCAGAAAUCUAAA
Cavia porcellus (domestic guinea pig) is the source of this 2359-nucleotide long non-coding RNA. RefSeq lists it as uncharacterized. The transcript has 3 exons. The record is from RefSeq and is a predicted model, not a curated record. Lineage: Eukaryota; Metazoa; Chordata; Mammalia; Rodentia; Caviidae.